UGGGGAAUAUUGCGCAAUGGAGGGAACUCUGACGCAGCAACGCCGCGUGAAGGAUGAAGGCUUUCGGGUUGUAAACUUCUUUGAUCGGGGACGAAGAUGACGGUACCCGAGGAACAAGCCACGGCUAACUACGUGCCAGCAGCCGCGGUAAUACGUAGGGGGCGAGCGUUAUCCGGAUUCAUUGGGCGUAAAGCGUGUGUAGGCGGUUUAUUAAGUCUGUGGUCAAAUGCUAAAGCUUAACUUUAGUACGCCGUGGAAACUGGUAAACUUGAGUAGAGUAGAGGCAAGUGGAAUUCCUAGUGUAGCGGUGGAAUGCGUAGAUAUUAGGAGGAACACCAGUGGCGAAGGCGGCUUGCUGGGCUCUCACUGACGCUGAGACACGAAAGCGUGGGUAGCAAAUAGG
RNAcentral lists this ribosomal RNA (403 nucleotides) under uncultured prokaryote. RNAcentral describes it as "bacterial SSU rRNA". It matches the Rfam family "Bacterial small subunit ribosomal RNA", at positions 355 to 776 of the family's 1533-position model. The record is from RNAcentral.